AAAAAGUUGGCAGAUAAAUGCUAUUAAUUUAGAAUUAAUAAAUAGGGUAUUCCCUACUUUUUA
This 63-nucleotide transfer RNA is filed under the name Myzostoma seymourcollegiorum. RNAcentral describes it as "tRNA-Leu". Lineage: Eukaryota; Metazoa; Annelida; Myzostomida; Myzostomatidae. The record is from RNAcentral.